CCUGGCCACCGACUACGAGACCUACAGCUGCGUCUACGCCUGCGCCCAGGUUGGGGACUACAGAGAACAGUUCGCGUGGGUGCUGUCACGCACGCAGGAGCUCGACGCUGACACGCUCACAACCGUGCUCGGAGUGUUCGAGUCUAACGGCAUCGACACAGCGGUGCUCCAGCCUACGCCGCAAGGGGGAGACUGCGUCUACGCGCCAGUUCCUCCCAAGAUAUAAAC
Molecule: long non-coding RNA, 228 nt
Organism: Hyalella azteca
Lineage: Eukaryota; Metazoa; Arthropoda; Malacostraca; Amphipoda; Hyalellidae
Exons: 3
Source: RefSeq, a predicted model, not a curated record